AGACUUGCAUUACCUAUUCUAUAUCCUUCGCAUUCCACUUCCUGAAUUGCUCCGGUCCUGCAGGAAAUUCC
Etheostoma spectabile (orangethroat darter) is the source of this 71-nucleotide long non-coding RNA. RefSeq lists it as uncharacterized. The transcript is spliced from 3 exons. Lineage: Eukaryota; Metazoa; Chordata; Actinopteri; Perciformes; Percidae. The record is from RefSeq and is a predicted model, not a curated record.